This is a ribosomal RNA of Scophthalmus maximus (turbot), 119 nucleotides long. Lineage: Eukaryota; Metazoa; Chordata; Actinopteri; Pleuronectiformes; Scophthalmidae. The record is from Ensembl.
GCUUACGGCCGUACCGCCUGGUUCACGCCCGAUCUCGUUUGAUCUCGGAAGCUAAGAUAGGGUGGGCCUGGUUAGUACUUGGAUGGGAGACCGCCUGGGAAUACCAGGUGUUGUAAGAU